AGGGUGCAAGCGUUACUCGGAAUUACUGGGCGUAAAGCGUGCGUAGGUGGUGAGUUAAGUCUGAUGUGAAAUCCCCGGGCUCAACCUGGGAAUGGCAUUGGAUACUGGCUCGCUAGAGUGCGGUAGAGGGUGGUGGAAUUCCCGGUGUAGCAGUGAAAUGCGUAGAGAUCGGGAGGAACAUCUGUGGCGAAGGCGGCCACCUGGACCAGCACUGACACUGAGGCACGAAAGCGUGGGGAGCAAACAGG
This 248-nucleotide ribosomal RNA is filed under the name uncultured bacterium. RNAcentral's name for it is "partial 16S ribosomal RNA". It matches the Rfam family "Bacterial small subunit ribosomal RNA", at positions 529 to 776 of the family's 1533-position model. The record is from RNAcentral.